Molecule: long non-coding RNA, 5753 nt
Organism: Zea mays
Lineage: Eukaryota; Viridiplantae; Streptophyta; Magnoliopsida; Poales; Poaceae
Exons: 3
Source: RefSeq, a predicted model, not a curated record
GACACAAAGUUUCCAGCCAAUCUCUAUCUCGCCUUUCCUCUCUCCCUGAUACCUUCCUCACCCGUCACGCGCGCACGAACGCUCGCCGCCGCCAUCAACCUCCUCGGCGGUGCGGGCAUCACCACCAUCGUCAACCUGGCGGAGGAGGCCAAGCUCGCAUGCGAGGGGGUCAAGGCGCCUGCUACAUUGUGAGGAAGUCGUGUGACAGCGUGCCUAUCGGAGACAAGGCUGGACAACGAGGAAGACGUUGGUGGGGAAGUGGAGAACCAAGCUCUGUUUGUUGCCUUGCCUUCUCUUCUCUGGUUCUCCGUUUGCACGCACGCUCAUUCUCGUGGCACAACUCGGCGAGCCCCGCCGCCUCCUCUCUACGACAUGUGCCCAGAUCUACCUUCGCCAGUUCCUUCACCAGCGAUGAGCACCAACCCGGUAUGUGCACUCCUCUUCCCUUCGCGUUGAAUCUGGGUCCUGCCCUCCAUCUCUGUCCCUAGGUCAAAUCAAAUCGACCCCAUCUAUCUCAAUUACUGCCAUCGAGAGAGAGAGAGAGAGAGCCCCACCGUCGAGUGGCACCGCCUCCAAACCCUAGCCCCUUCUUUGCGCAUGGCUAUCGUUGUCACUGUCGGGCCCCCAAGACGCCCGCCUCCUAUGCAGCACGCGCCAUGCCGCUCUCCUCUAUAGGUGAGAUGGUAUCGUCCUUGUUCGCUAGGGAGUAGCUGGAAUGCACUUAGAUUUGGGUCUGGAAUAUGGCUACCGAUUCCUGGAUCUGGCUUGUGUUACAGAUUGUGAGCAUGCGGUAGUAACUGACUGAACAAGAAAAACACAUGUAUUCAGUUGCAGUUGGUUUCUCAAGCCAUUCUCUUUCAAAUGGCACUCAUGUAACAAAACAACUAUGAUGACUUUGUUAUUGAUGGCUAUAUCUGUUUUUCCUUAUUACUAAUUAGGGUCAUUGUCCAGUUACGUAGAGAUGAAAGGGCACCUGAAGUUUUAGUGAGGUAUAAGAUUUGCUCUUGACAUUGCAAUGUGUCUGAAUACUCUAUCAAAUAUAUAUUGUUUAGAUUGUCUAUCCUUUUGAUAAAAUUCUAUGUACCUCGCAGUUUGCAAAAUAUUGACUGAACUGAAACAGGUAGUGCUACACUUUUUUAUACUCAUGUAGAAAAAAAUAUACUCAUUACUCACUUGUUCAUCAGAAUGGAAGGAUUGUUCUUUUUGCUGUGGAAGUAUAUAUGUUUUCAGAUAACAAUUUUGUAUCGAUUCAGCUGGAUACAAUUCAAACAGCACUAUGAAGCUUGUUUCUGCUCCUCUACAAUUGAACGCAACCGAACAGAGUGUUCCGGGUUUGUUUCCUUGUUCAUGAGACUGAAUUAUCUCUGAGUGCAAAGCUGAGCCAAUCAUUCAUGGAAAUUUGUCACCGAAGUAAGCUCAUUAAUCAUUAUUUUGUAGUUGAAUUAGUGUAAGACUAUAAUAUAUAAGUGGCUACAUGUGUUUUAUACCCUAUCAUACUUCGGUAAGGUAGCAAAAACAACGAUGAAUGACAACUUAAAAGGUGACAGGUCUUGGAUCACUGAGUUUGACUAAGGUUUCUGAAGGUAAAAUACUUAUAGAAUUAGACAGUAUGUUAUACUUACUCGGAGGUGUGUUUUCCUGAUUAGUUAUUGUCUAGAUUGUUUAUGUCCAUAAAGAGCAAGGUGAACAGAAUUGCUGACAUAAUUUUAAGAAACGAGUGAUGGCUAUAUUGUCAUAACAUGGGGGGUCGACAGAGACGUGCCCUUCUCCGCGACCACCAAACAGGUCUUUGAUGUGGCUGUUGUGCUCUCUAAGAACAUGCAUGGGUUCCAGCUUCAUCUCGCCCGAGCACCUCGCCAUCGCGCUCUUCACCCUCGACGAUCCAACUACCAACAUCCUCCUAAGGAGGUAGGUUCUGUUAUUUAUUUUCCAUUGCAACUGAUUUUCAGAUCCAGUGCAAUCGAUAUCAUUGACCUAUUGAUCACAUUACCGUCUAUAAUAAAUACAAUAGUAUGUUUAUUCUCCCUUCCGAGCUAAUAACCCUCCCACGUCGCCCCUUCCGUCGCUCCACCCACCGGAGCCACCACCGAACCUAGAGCGCGCCUUCCCUGGACGAUGUCUCCCACGCGCCUGCGCGGCUACGCCAGAGUGCGUCGGUCCUGGUCGCUCUGGGAAGAAGCUACACGUGGCGCAGAUUUACUCCGUGCUCCCCACCGAGAUGCAGCGACGCCGCCUCAUGCGCGCCAAGGUCGUCGCUCUCAUGGCCAUGGUCAGCUCGGCGCUCGUCAAUGUUGUCACGGUCACCCACCAUCCUCGCCCUUCCGCCGUUGCUGGCACUGCUCGUGCUCCCGGCCCCGAGGAGGUGUACGCGGCAAUAGACUCAGUGUUGCCCGUUGCUGCGAAGUCUGCGGUGGUGGUGAAUCUGUAACAGAGAGCGGCGUACGGUAGGCUGAGGAGCUCAUCGAUGAGGUCAAUGGCGUAAAAAGGUAUAUCUUUUUCGUGGUGGCGAAUCCAUAACAGAGAGCGGCGUACGGUAGGCUGAGGAGCUCACUGAUGAGGUCAAUGGCGUAAAAAAGUAUAUCUUUUUCUACUCUUUUUGUGUGUCUGUACUCUGUACUCUAUAAUAUGUAGUUUUUUUGCAAUUCAGGCCACCGGUGCUACAACCCUGCUAAGUUCUUACAUAGACAAGGGGUUUCUUAUGAGUUUCAUGUGAAAUUAUUCUUGUGAUGGUGUGUGAAGGAAAAUGGAGCAGUUAUUGUGCAAGGAUGAUGGGGGCUUCGGUGCAGAAAGAGACUACAAUCCAUCGAAAGAGAAGCAGUAAAGUACCAGCGUGCUGUGGAGGGCUAAUGAAAAGCUUGAGAAGCGGGUCCUCUGUUUGAAGGUAAGGGCAUGCAUGCAGCAACAUUGUAUGCUAAGAAAAAUGUGGGAUUUAAUUUCAAACAAAAUGAGAACCGAGAAACCAUGCCUUCUACUAAUUUCGCUUCUGUAGUUUCAAACAAAAUGAGAAAUUAGAAACCAUGUCUAUUAUCGAUUUGUCUUCGGUUAUUAGAUUUACAGGGAAGCUAUGACUUUGAUAUCUAAUGCCUAACUUUGAAGGAAACUCAUUGGAUGGAGCUAACUUGUAUUGUAUUAUUCUUUUAUGGAGUUGUUGAACUUGUCGAUGUGUACUGAUUUUUUCUCUUAUGUUUGUAGCCAUGCUCUUUAACUGGUUCUUUGUCAGGUUGUGCAGUUUGUGCAAACCAUAGGAUUACUUAGUAUUGUGUAUAUUAUGUUUUGUAGUGAUCUGUCAGUUUGGUGUUUCACAUGUGACUUGUACCUAGAAGUUUAGGCCAUUUUAAAAUUGCGUCCAGUAUAUGAAGUUGCACAUUUGUUCAAAUCGGGAGAACGCUUUCCAAUCACUUAGAAACACUAGAUUUCAGCACUGGUGAAAGUGGAAGUUCAUCUAGGGCUUAGUUAUCUGUAUUCAAGUAAUGAGUUUCUUUUCAUGAUGCUUCAAUCAGAUCCAGACAGACAGUUGUGUAGUAUCCUGGCACAUCUUAAGCUUCAAUGCAAUAUAUUUUAUUUGAGAAGUCGUGUGCAGUUUUUUUGUCUUCUCUCUGAUAAACCAUCCCUUCCAUCUUAAAACUAACAGUGAAACCUAUAAUAGAUACGUUCCCAUGGCAUAUGAUGAUUACUUGGAGGAAGUUGUAUACUUGUAUGGUUAGUUCCACACCGUGCCAAGCAAUUUUUAUAAUGGAACCUAGAAUAAGUGCAUGUGGAUGCUUGUUCUAACAUGACAUUUUACUUGCAUAUAAACUAAUAGAAAUGGUCAAUGGGUUGACCAUAAGACUCUAUAGGCUGCUGCUGACAAGGUCAGUCUUUAACUUUAUACAAUCCAAUUUGUGUUCCAGCUUGCAUAUCUUGUGUAUAGGGGCUGACAAGAAUGCUAAUGGUUGUAGCCGUCGUUAUGUAAUAUAAGAGGGACAAUCUAUGAUUAUGUUCCUUUCGUUUUGAUUGGCUAAAAAGGUUUAGAUUUGUGUGAUGGAAAUAGGUAUACGCGACCAGAGGUUGCAUAGGGUAUUUUUUAACUUCAAUGAUAUGUAGUAUAUUACAAUGGCCAAAAGCUCCCCUUGGCAGCUGCUCAGAUUGGGCAAGCUUUUAGAAAUGAGGUUUGUGUUUUCUGUCACAUUUCUACAAAUGGCUACUACUAAUUGUUGUGUUAUAUGCCAUUCCGCUCAUUUAUGGCAUGCUUCGGUCGCUGCUUAUUCACUGCCUCAAAGGUUAACACUUACUGACAAUUUUUUCUUUCCAAUUUGAUAUAUUCCUUUUGUUCUUUUGUUUAUAUAUGCUUCUUACCCUGGAUAGAAUUGUAAGCUAUUACACUAUUGCUAUUUAGAGAGAACUGUUAAUAAUGAGACACUUGGCUACUUCAUCGAAGGGCCUAUCUUUUCUUGACAUGCUACUGAUAUUACCAUGAACUAAAUCGUUAAAUAUGUAUUCUAAUAGAAUAUUUGGUGUAAAAGGGAAACCUUGUAAAAAAUGCUAACAUAUAUGAUAUAUAAUUGAAAAUAGGGCAAUUGCCAAUUAGAAAGGGGAAUCUAGAUGCACCUGUUAUUUUUUGGGACUUCAAUAGAUAAGAAGCAUUAUUUGCAUUAGGUUCUUUGCAUACAUGAUAGAAAUUAUGAGGCGGAUUGAUUGAACCUACUCUAAUAACACAUGCAAUUGAUGAAAAUAGAAAAAUCGUUAUCACACUAUUGGCCUACAUACCUAAUAGAAAUAGAUGAAGAUACUUGUUCAGAUGAUCAAGACUAAUAAGCUUUGAUAUUGUUUGCACAUAAGGUAGUCCGAGCCUGACCAUGCAUGGCAGCACAGAUUAUUCAAAGCACUUGGCUUUCUACUCUACUUGGGGACGUUCUCUUUCUUUGCAUGCGUGACUCCAUGCAUUUAGUGCAGGAUUUCCUUUUUUCCUGCUACCUGCUGGGUGUGUAGGGCAGACUAAUUCCUCCAUGGUUUAUUAGGUUCUCCUUCAGCGCACACACGAUUGCAGCUUGGUGCAUCUUAAGUCAUUUUCACCAUAUUUGGCAACCAAUUAAACCGGGUGUGCAUUUCCGUUUCAUAUACAUAUAAAAAUCAGAGAUUCAACUGAACCCUAAUGCACCAGCGAGCAUUGUGUCUGUGCAUAGCAAUGUUCAUGUUCAGUUGCAGCGAGCUACCUAGCAGUAGCCCUAGGGUAGCGAGGGGAAUGACAGUCCCUCUUGCCUCACUUUUCUCUCUCCCUAACGUCUGCAGUUCUCCUCAACAAAUUUCUAUGACUGCUGGAACUUUACUCACACCUCAUCACUUCUCUCUUAUGCAGUGGAAGCGGUUGAAAAAGAUGUCCGAUACAGCUGGCAAGCUUUACUUCCGAUGACAUCUGUGCUUACCAGGAUGGGCACGUCACCAUCGGUCUGCCUUUUGAUUCAAUUGGAAAAUGCUGCUACUGAAGAACUUUAGCCGUUGGACUGAAACUCUACUUGGAUAUUACCUGGUGUCAAUUCCGUAAGCAACUUGCACUAUUAUUUAUGAGCUCGCGCCGAACUGUUUGAAUGCUACAUGCUCAUCAGUACGAAGUAAAAGUCGUAUGCUAAUCUGAUUUCUAAGAAAUUCCCCUUCUGGUCUGUCAAUUGUCUGUGCUCCUUAUCUUUCAAUCCAAAUGGCUUUAUGUAAUCCAUUGUAGCACAUUUCAGUUGCUAACUGAGAUUUCUAAUCAUACGGAAACAAUUGAAGCCGACAUG